CGGGAUGAGCUCAAAUUUGAAAGCUGGCCUUUGGUCCGCAUUGUAAUCUCGAGAAGUGUUUUCCGUGUUGGACCGCGUACAAGUCCCUUGGAAUAGGGCGUCGUAGAGGGUGAGAAUCCCGUACUUGACGCGGCCGCCAAUGCUUUGUGAUACACUCUCCAC
Molecule: ribosomal RNA, 162 nt
Filed under: Gjaerumia penniseti
Lineage: Eukaryota; Fungi; Basidiomycota; Exobasidiomycetes; Georgefischeriales; Gjaerumiaceae
Description: partial large subunit ribosomal RNA
Rfam family: Eukaryotic large subunit ribosomal RNA
Source: RNAcentral